GCUGGCGGCACGCCUUAUACAUGCAAGUCGAACGAAGUAGCAAUACUUAGUGGCAGACGGGUGAGUAACAUGUGGGUAUCUUCCCUUUGGUGAGGAAUAACACGAGGAAACUUGUGCUAAUACCUCAUAAGUCUUUACGGAGAAAGCUUUAUGCGCCAAUGGAUGAGCCCGCACUUGAUUAGUUUGUUGGUGGGGUAAUGGCCUACCAAGACUUUGAUCAAUAGCUGAUCUGAGAGGAUGAUCAGCCACAUUGGGACUGAGACACGGCCCAAACUCCUACGGGAGGCAGCAGUAGGGAAUAUUGCACAAUGGAGGAAACUCUGAUGCAGCGAUGCCGCGUGAGUGAAGAAGGCCCUUGGGUUGUAAAGCUCUUUCGUCGGGGAAGAAAAUGACUGUACCCGAAUAAGAAGGUCCGGCUAACUUCGUGCCAGCAGCCGCGGUAAUACGAAGGGACCUAGCGUAGUUCGGAAUUACUGGGCUUAAAGAGUUCGUAGGUGGUUAAAAAAGUUGGUUGUGAAAUCCCGGAGCUUAACUCCGGAACUGCAAUCAAAACUUUUUAGCUAGAGUAUGAUAGAGGAAAGCAGAAUUUCUAGUGUAGAGGUGAAAUUCGUAGAUAUUAGAAAGAAUACCAAUUGCGAAGGCAGCUUUCUGGAUCAUUACUGACACUGAGGAACGAAAGCAUGGGUAGCGAAGAGGAUUAGAUACCCUCGUAGUCCAUGCCGUAAACGAUGUGUGUUAGACGUUGGAAAUUAAUUUUUAGUGUCGCAGCGAAAGCAAUAAACACACCGCCUGGGGAG
This 797-nucleotide ribosomal RNA is filed under the name uncultured Pelagibacteraceae bacterium. RNAcentral's name for it is "bacterial SSU rRNA". It matches the Rfam family "Bacterial small subunit ribosomal RNA", at positions 35 to 880 of the family's 1533-position model. Lineage: Bacteria; Pseudomonadati; Pseudomonadota; Alphaproteobacteria; Candidatus Pelagibacterales; Candidatus Pelagibacteraceae. The record is from RNAcentral.